CGGGCAGUAGCGCAGUUGGUAGCGUACCAGUAUGGGGUGCUGGGGGUCAGGAGUUCAAGUCUCCUCUGCCCGA
Molecule: transfer RNA, 73 nt
Filed under: Spirochaetes bacterium GWF1_41_5
Lineage: Bacteria; Pseudomonadati; Spirochaetota
Also listed under: 1 other name
Description: tRNA-Pro
Rfam family: tRNA
About the family: Transfer RNA (tRNA) molecules are approximately 80 nucleotides in length. Their secondary structure includes four short double-helical elements and three loops (D, anti-codon, and T loops). Further hydrogen bonds mediate the characteristic L-shaped molecular structure. tRNAs have two regions of fundamental functional importance: the anti-codon, which is responsible for specific mRNA codon recognition, and the 3' end, to which the tRNAs corresponding amino acid is attached (by aminoacyl-tRNA synthetases). tRNAs cope with the degeneracy of the genetic code in two manners: having more than one tRNA (with a specific anti-codon) for a particular amino acid; and 'wobble' base-pairing, i.e. permitting non-standard base-pairing at the 3rd anti-codon position.
Source: RNAcentral